AGAGUUUGAUCAUGGCUCAGAUUGAACGCUGGCGGCAUGCCUAACACAUGCAAGUCGAACGGAAACGAUGCUAGCUUGCUAGCAGGCGUCGAGUGGCGGACGGGUGAGUAAUGUAUAGGGAUCUGCCUAGUAGUGGGGGACAACAUGUGGAAACGCAUGCUAAUACCGCAUAAUCUCUACGGAGGAAAGUGGGGGACCUUUGGGCCUCACGCUAUUAGAUGAACCUAUAUCAGAUUAGCUAGUUGGUGAGGUAACGGCUCACCAAGGCGACGAUCUGUAGCUGGUUUGAGAGAAUGAUCAGCCACACUGGGACUGAGACACGGCCCAGACUCCUACGGGAGGCAGCAGUGGGGAAUAUUGCACAAUGGAGGCAACUCUGAUGCAGCAAUGCCGCGUGUGUGAAGAAGGCCUUAGGGUUGUAAAGCACUUUCAAUAGGGAGGAAAAGUUAGUCGUUAAUAACGGCUAGCCGUGACGUUACCUAUAGAAGAAGGACCGGCUAACUCCGUGCCAGCAGCCGCGGUAAUACG
RNAcentral lists this ribosomal RNA (528 nucleotides) under uncultured Gammaproteobacteria bacterium. Its description in RNAcentral is "bacterial SSU rRNA". It matches the Rfam family "Bacterial small subunit ribosomal RNA", at positions 8 to 527 of the family's 1533-position model. Lineage: Bacteria; Pseudomonadati; Pseudomonadota; Gammaproteobacteria. The record is from RNAcentral.